This 253-nucleotide ribosomal RNA is filed under the name uncultured bacterium. RNAcentral describes it as "partial 16S ribosomal RNA". It matches the Rfam family "Bacterial small subunit ribosomal RNA", at positions 524 to 776 of the family's 1533-position model. The record is from RNAcentral.
UACGUAGGAUGCAAGCGUUGUCCGGAAUUAUUGGGCGUAAAGAGCGCGCAGGCGGUCUGCCAAGUCAGAUGUGAAAUAUCCCGGCUUAACCGGGAGGGGUCAUUUGAAACUGGUAGACUAGAGUACAGCAGAGGAUAGUGGAAUUCCCGGUGUAGUGGUGAAAUUCGUAGAUAUUGGGAAGAACACCGGUGGCGAAGGCGGCGCUCUGGACCGAGACUGACGCUGAGGCGCGAAAGCGUGGGGAGCAAACAGG